This 1291-nucleotide long non-coding RNA is filed under the name Oryctolagus cuniculus (rabbit). RNAcentral's name for it is "lncRNA (ENSOCUG00000034505.1)". The record is from RNAcentral. Lineage: Eukaryota; Metazoa; Chordata; Mammalia; Lagomorpha; Leporidae.
CUUAGGACUUUAUUAUAAUGAAAAUUCUGAAGACUAUAAGUAAACAAAGAGGACACACACUGGAAGACAACUGGAGUCAUCCCAUGACAUUGGAGUGGGCCAGCCUCCUGGGACGUAGGCAUUUGUGGAAACAUUUAUUGGAUUCCCCCCCCAACUUCCCAAUGGCUUUUAUCUUUGGUCUAUCCCUCUGUGGCUUAGUGGAUUCUCUUCUUUCAGUGAAUACCCAAAGGUAUGUGCUAGAUGUGGCCAGGGAGCUCUGUUUAGUGUUCCAGGGUCAGGGUAAUAUCCAAGAUGACACCAAAGAUGAUUGUGGUAAGCUUCCUCUUUUUUUUAAUCAGAGGGGAGGGUUAGAUCAGCUCUGUUGGUGUGGUCUCACAUUAACCUCCUUUCCUCCAAGGAGAUUAGUUCCAAAGUGCUAGCUCCAGUGGAUGCAAUAUUCAUCUGCAUUGUCACAAGAACCAUGUGAAGUAUUCAUGCAGUCCUCAGUGUGAGCACUGAUGCCACAGCAAUGACCUUUUCCAGGCAAUCAGGGAUCCCCAAAAACAUUAAAGAAAGAAAUAGAAGAAGCCAUUUCAAAAAUGGAAAAACCUUCCAUGUUCAUGGAUUGGAAGAAUCAAGAUCAUCAAAAUGUCCAUGCUAUCCAAAGCAAUUUACAGAUUCAAUGCAAUAACAUCCAAACUACCAAGGACAAUCUUCUCAAAUAUAGAAAACAGGAUGCUGAAAUUCAUAUGGAAAAAUAAGAGACCCCGAAUAAUUAAAGCAAUCUUAUUCAACAAAAACAAAGCCAGAAUACCACAAUAUCACAUUUCAUGACAUAUUACAGAGUAGUUAUAAUCAAAACAUCCUGGUAUUGACACAAAAACAGAUGGAUAGACCAAUGGACUAGAAUAGAAAUGCCAGAAAUUAGUCCAUAUAUCUAUACCCAACAUAUCUUUCACAAACAAGCUAAAAUCAAUCCCUGAAUAAUGACAGUCUCUUCAACAAAUGGUGGUAGGAAAACUAGAUGUCCACGUGCAGAAGUAUGAAACAAGACUCUUACCUUACACAAAAAUCCACUCAAAUUGUAUCAGAGAUUUUAAUCUCCCAUCAAAUAUCAUCAAAUUGUUAGAGAACAUUGGGGAAACCUUGCAGGACAAGCCUUCUUGGAAAAGACCCAGAAGCACAGGCGAUCAAAGCCAAAAUUGACAAAUGUGAUCACAUCUAGCUGAGAAGCUUCUAUACUGCAAAAGAAAUACUCAGAAAAGUGAAGUGGCAACCACCAGAAUUGAAUAAAUUAUUUGACAAUUAUACA